GAUGAACGCUAGCGGCAUGCCUAAUACAUGCAAGUCGAGCGAGCAGACCUUUCGCGGGCUGAAAUCGCCUUACCGGUGCGCAACUGGUUAACAACCUAAUUUCCACCGGAGGAUAGCCCGAUGACUUCUGGAUUAAUAACCUAUUACAUUGUUAUAUAGUAUACUUUGGCAAUUAAAACUGCGGUAGUGAUUGAUGGUCAUGCAUACUUUUAGCCAGUUGGCGUGGUAACGGCAAUCCAAGGCUACGAUAGGUAGGGGUCAUGAGAGGGAGAUCCUCCACACUGGUACUGAGACAGGGACCAGACUCCUACGGGAGGCAGCAGUGAGGAAUAUUGGGCAAGGGUCGGAAGACUGAACCAGCCAUGCCGCGUGCAGGAAGAAUGCCUUAUGGGUUGUAAACUGCUUUUAUAUGGGAAGAAUAAGGCGUACGUGUACGUUGAUGACGGUACCAUAUGAAUAAGCAUCGGCUAACUCCGUG
This 478-nucleotide ribosomal RNA is filed under the name uncultured bacterium. RNAcentral's name for it is "partial 16S ribosomal RNA". It matches the Rfam family "Bacterial small subunit ribosomal RNA", at positions 28 to 507 of the family's 1533-position model. The record is from RNAcentral.